RNAcentral lists this ribosomal RNA (471 nucleotides) under uncultured bacterium. Its description in RNAcentral is "bacterial SSU rRNA". It matches the Rfam family "Bacterial small subunit ribosomal RNA", at positions 355 to 825 of the family's 1533-position model. The record is from RNAcentral.
UGGGGAAUUUUGGACAAUGGGGGAAACCCUGAUCCAGCCAUGCCACGUGUGUGAAGAAGGCCUUCGGGUUGUAAAGCACUUUCGGACGGAACGAAAUCGCACGGGUGAAUAUCCCGUGUGGAUGACGGUACCGUAAGAAGAAGCACCGGCUAACUACGUGCCAGCAGCCGCGGUAAUACGUAGGGUGCGAGCGUUAAUCGGAAUUACUGGGCGUAAAGUGUGCGCAGGCGGCUUCGCAAGUCGAGUGUGAAAUCCCCGGGCUUAACUUGGGAACGGCGCUCGAAACUACGGAGCUAGAGUAUGGCAGAGGAGGUGGAAUUCCACGUGUAGCGGUGAAAUGCGUAGAGAUGUGGAGGAACACCAAUGGCGAAGGCAGCCUCCUGGGCCAAUACUGACGCUCAUGCACGAAAGCGUGGGGAGCAAACAGGAUUAGAUACCCUGGUAGUCCCUGAGCGGGCUGGCAAGGCGCAU